GUGCAGGAAAAGAGGUUAAGGGCAGGAAACGAACAGCAAGGGGGAUGCACUGUUUGAAGCUGAACGCGUGAUUAGCCAUUUGUGAUGUCUGAAAAUACUUUGUGUUGUAUCAGAACACAGAGAGGAAAAUGGUUUAGUGGGUUGUGAAGCACUGCGUAUUUUGAAGGUAAGAGAACUGCUCCUCUGGAACUGUGCUGCUCACUCUUAAGGCAUUACACCAGUUCUUACUGGGCUAUAUGCCACCAUCUUUUAUUGAAAAGUAUAUGAAAAAAGAUAUACAUCACUUAGGUGGUUUGUCCCACAUCAGACAUAAAAGGAGCAGGCUUAUGAGGGAUACUGAGGUGCGCAACAUUUCACUUUUCUCAUCAUCCAAACAGGAAAUACAGCAAUAAGUAUAUCUGUAAUUCCACUUUUUCAGAGGCUGGAUUAGUAUGUGGAAAGGGCUUAAGCAAGGCUAUGUGCCAUGGUUUGAGAAGCAGGAUAGUAAGCAGCCAAACUUCUGUUCACAGCUCACCACCCUUCACCCAGAGCUGGACAGUGGUGCUCUGAAUUGUUUUGGCUAACAUAAUAUAUAGGGCAAAAGUGAGAGCGAUGGUGGAACAAAGCAGGCUUGGUUACCAAUAUCAUAGCGAUUUUGAGUACCAGCUUGUCAUUUAUGGGUAUACCUGACCGUGAAGGAAGGCUUGAGUGAAUGAAGUGCCUACUAAUAAACAGCAUUUGCAGCUGUGGGGGCAAACGUGACCUUUGAAGGUGAGCUGCAUCCGUGCCCGAGGGGAGUGCUGCUCUGAGCACAGGGCAGAGCGCAGCGCCGUGCUGCUGUUUAUACACGGGUGGAUGCCGGGUCGGUACGCGCCUUGUCCGAGUCGAGCUCUGCUCGCUCCUGUCUCGGUUGGUGAACGGUCCGUGGCCGCAAGCGCGAACGGACGGGCGUGUACUCUGUGUGCAAAUCUGCGCCUUUGUCUCCCCGGCGGCCGCCUCCGAGUAUGCCUCCGGUAACGGCUCCGGGCCGGCUUCCCCAAGCCCGGCAGUGUCCCGGGGGCACGGCCUCCCUCCGCCGGCCCGGGCUGCCCCUUUAAGAGAGGCCCCGGCGCCGUGUCAAUCGCCGCGCCCGGCUCUUUCCCUCUCCUCCCCUUCCGCAGCGCUGCGAUUCGGGGUGCCGCCGCCAGAGCCGGGCCGCGCGAUGGGCAGCCGCGGGCAGCCGCCGGAGCCGCGCCGCCAACCGCCGCCAGAGCCGCGCCGAGGGGCCUCCCGCGGGGCUGCGGGGCGCUCGGGCACCGAGGGGUAGCGGCGGGGCCCGCCGCGGGACGCGCCGACGCUCCGGAGAGCGUGUGCGCCCGGAGGACAGCACAAUAGCCGGGAGGAGGAGACAGGGAAAGGGGCAGGAGGAAAGGAGGAGAGAGAAAGAGAAAGCACAACACGGGGGCUGGCAAGGGGAGGACGGAGCGGAGGGCUCCCGAGCGCGGCGGCGCUGAGGACCGUGGCCGGGACGGCGGCGGCAGGAGCUUCCUUCCCUUAUUCUCCACUUACUCCUGUAUGCAAA
Molecule: long non-coding RNA, 1540 nt
Filed under: Gallus gallus (chicken)
Lineage: Eukaryota; Metazoa; Chordata; Aves; Galliformes; Phasianidae
Description: long non-coding RNA NONGGAT002889
Source: RNAcentral